This 281-nucleotide ribosomal RNA is filed under the name uncultured bacterium. RNAcentral describes it as "partial 16S ribosomal RNA". It matches the Rfam family "Bacterial small subunit ribosomal RNA", at positions 28 to 319 of the family's 1533-position model. The record is from RNAcentral.
GAUUAACGCUGGCGGCGUGCCUAACACAUGCAAGUCGAACGAGGUAGCAAUACCUAGUGGCAGACGGGUGAGUAACGCGUGGUCAACCUACCGUUGAGUGGGGAUAACUAGCCGAAGGUUAGCUAAUACCGCAUACGUCUCCGAGGGGCGAUCCCUUGGCGAUAAAAGGAAGCAAUCCGCUCGAUGACGGGACCGCGUCCCAUUAGCUAGAUGGUGGGGUAACGGCCUACCAUGGCACCGAUGGGUAGCUGGUUUGAGAGAGCGACCAGCCACACUGGGAC